UUUCCGUGGGUGAACCUGCGGAAGGAUCAUUAUUGUAUAACCGAGGUGCGAGGGCUGUCGCUGACCCGAAAGGUCGUGCACGCCCGAGUGCCCUCACACGCAUCCAUCUCACCCCUAUGUGCACCACCGCGUGGGUCCCCCUUUGGCUUGUUCGGAGGGGGGCUUACGUUUUCACACAAACUUUGUAUGCAGUGUAGAAUGUAUUUUUUGUUUUUGCGAUCACGCAAUCAAUACAACUUUCAACAACGGAUCUCUUGGCUCUC
This 263-nucleotide unclassified non-coding RNA is filed under the name plant metagenome. RNAcentral describes it as "partial contains small subunit ribosomal RNA, internal transcribed spacer 1, and 5.8S ribosomal RNA". The record is from RNAcentral.